This 823-nucleotide ribosomal RNA is filed under the name Kocuria rosea. Its description in RNAcentral is "bacterial SSU rRNA". It matches the Rfam family "Bacterial small subunit ribosomal RNA", at positions 112 to 944 of the family's 1533-position model. The record is from RNAcentral. Lineage: Bacteria; Bacillati; Actinomycetota; Actinomycetes; Micrococcales; Micrococcaceae.
AGUACUUGAGUAACCUGCCCUUGACUCUGGGAUAAGCCUGGGAAACUGGGUCUAAUACUGGAUACUACCUCUUACCGCAUGGUGGGUGGUGGAAAGGGUUUUACUGGUUUUGGAUGGGCUCACGGCCUAUCAGCUUGUUGGUGGGGUAAUGGCUCACCAAGGCGACGACGGGUAGCCGGCCUGAGAGGGUGACCGGCCACACUGGGACUGAGACACGGCCCAGACUCCUACGGGAGGCAGCAGUGGGGAAUAUUGCACAAUGGGCGGAAGCCUGAUGCAGCGACGCCGCGUGAGGGAUGACGGCCUUCGGGUUGUAAACCUCUUUCAGUAGGGAAGAAGCGAGAGUGACGGUACCUGCAGAAGAAGCGCCGGCUAACUACGUGCCAGCAGCCGCGGUAAUACGUAGGGCGCAAGCGUUGUCCGGAAUUAUUGGGCGUAAAGAGCUCGUAGGCGGUUUGUCGCGUCUGCUGUGAAAGCCCGGGGCUCAACCCCGGGUCUGCAGUGGGUACGGGCAGACUAGAGUGCAGUAGGGGAGACUGGAAUUCCUGGUGUAGCGGUGAAAUGCGCAGAUAUCAGGAGGAACACCGAUGGCGAAGGCAGGUCUCUGGGCUGUUACUGACGCUGAGGAGCGAAAGCAUGGGGAGCGAACAGGAUUAGAUACCCUGGUAGUCCAUGCCGUAAACGUUGGGCACUAGGUGUGGGGGACAUUCCACGUUUUCCGCGCCGUAGCUAACGCAUUAAGUGCCCCGCCUGGGGAGUACGGCCGCAAGGCUAAAACUCAAAGGAAUUGACGGGGGGCCCGCACAAGCGGCGGAGCAUGCGG